GACGAACGCUGGCGGCGUGCUUAACACAUGCAAGUCGAACGGACAGGCCCUGAUUUUGUGGGGUGCUCGAUUGGCGAACGGGUGAGUAACACGUGAGUAACCUGCCCUUGACUUUGGGAUAACUUCAGGAAACUGGGGCUAAUACCGGAUAGGAGCUCCUGCUGCAUGGUGGGGGUUGGAAAGAUUCGGCGGUUGGGGAUGGUAUCGCGGGUUAUCAGCUUGUUGGUGUGGUAGUGGUUUACCAAGGCUUUGAAGGGUAGCCCGCCUGAGAGGGUGACCGGCCACAUUGGGACUGAGAGACGGCCCAGACUCCUACGGGAGGCAGCAGUGGGGAAUAUUGCACAAUGGGCGGAAGCCUGAUGCAGCAACGCCGCGUGCGGGAUGACGGCCUUCGGGGUGUAAACCGAUUUCGCCUGUGACGAAGCGUGAGUGACGGUAAUGGGUAAAGAAGCAACGGCUAACUACGUG
RNAcentral lists this ribosomal RNA (468 nucleotides) under uncultured bacterium. RNAcentral's name for it is "partial 16S ribosomal RNA". It matches the Rfam family "Bacterial small subunit ribosomal RNA", at positions 28 to 507 of the family's 1533-position model. The record is from RNAcentral.